UACGGAAGGCAGCAGUGGGGAAUAUUGCACAAUGGGCGAAAGCCUGAUGCAGCUAUGCCGCGUGUAUGAAGAAGGCCUUAGGGUUGUAAAGUACUUUCAUCGGGGAGGAAAAAACAAAACUAAUAAUUUUAUUUCUUGACGUUACCCGAAAAAGAAGCACCGGCUAACUCCGUGCCAGCAGCCGCGGUAAUACGGAGGGUGCUAGCGUUAAUCAGAAUUACUGGGCGUAAAGAGCACGUAGGUGGUUUUUUUAAGUCAGAUGUGAAAUCCCUGGGCUUAACCUAGGAACUGCAUUUUGAAACUGAAAUACUAGAGUAUCGUAGAGGGAGGUAGAAUUCUAGGUGUAGCGGUGAAAUGCGUAGAUAUCUGGAGGAAUACCUGUGGCGAAAGCGGCCUCCUAAACGAAUACUGACACUGAGGUGCGAAAGCGUUGGGGAGCAAACAGGGAUUUAGAUACC
RNAcentral lists this ribosomal RNA (458 nucleotides) under uncultured bacterium. RNAcentral's name for it is "bacterial SSU rRNA". It matches the Rfam family "Bacterial small subunit ribosomal RNA", at positions 340 to 786 of the family's 1533-position model. The record is from RNAcentral.